RNAcentral lists this ribosomal RNA (468 nucleotides) under uncultured bacterium. Its description in RNAcentral is "partial 16S ribosomal RNA". It matches the Rfam family "Bacterial small subunit ribosomal RNA", at positions 28 to 507 of the family's 1533-position model. The record is from RNAcentral.
GACGAACGCUGGCGGCGUGCUUAACACAUGCAAGUCGAACGGAAAGGCCCUGCUUUUGUGGGGUGCUCGAGUGGCGAACGGGUGAGUAACACGUGAGUAACCUGCCCUUGACUUUGGGAUAACUUCAGGAAACUGGGGCUAAUACCGGAUAGGAGCUCCUGCUGCAUGGUGGGGGUUGGAAAGUUUCGGCGGUUGGGGAUGGACUCGCGGCUUAUCAGCUUGUUGGUGGGGUAGUUGCUUACCAAGGCUUUGACGGGUAGCCGGCCUGAGAGGGUGACCGGCGACAUUGGGACUGAGAUACGGCCCAGACUCCUACGGGAGGCAGCAGUGGGGAAUAUUGCACAAUGGGCGGAAGCCUGAUGCAGCAACGCAGCGUGCGGGAUGACGGCCUUCGGGUUGUAAACCGCUUUCGCCUGUGACGAAGCGUGAGUGACGGUAAUGGGUAAAGAAGCACCGGCUAACUACGUG